Molecule: long non-coding RNA, 3524 nt
Organism: Acinonyx jubatus (cheetah)
Lineage: Eukaryota; Metazoa; Chordata; Mammalia; Carnivora; Felidae
Exons: 6
Source: RefSeq, a predicted model, not a curated record
AUAAAAGUUCUGUUUGUCCAGGAGCUGUUUAUGCAGAGAGUCCCGUGCACCUUGGUCUCACACUGGGCUGGACUCCCCGGACUACUUUGGAAUGUCCACAAAUCAGAAGCAGACUCAAACCAGAGGAAUAAAAAUGUGUCAUCCUCUGAAUCAUCUCACCCCAGAAAUAUGAAGAAGCCAGCCCUGCUAUUCAUGAAGCUUCUUUCUCAAUGUUUCCUGUAGGUGUGGAAGCAGCAGCUGCCGCCCUGAGAGACCAGACACCUUAUCUGAGGACUCCAUGCACCCCUGCUUGGUGAGCCUUCAUGUUACAGAAAGCAAACCUCAUCCAGCCCUAUCCUCAAAAUACUGUCUGGGGAAUUGCGUGUUUAUGGACUAAACCUGGAUAGUACACAUGAUAAAAGAACAUAGUCCCUGGAUGCAAAAUGAAUAAGUAAGAUAUACCUCACAGAAGCACAGCUAUUGCAAAUCUGGAGCCUCAAGUUUAAUUGCCUUGAACUUGAACAGUGACAGAGCAAGAAAGGUAAAACACCAUAGAGGUUGCAGAAUAUCCUGCUUGAAGAGGAAGAAGAAGGGGAAGAUGUCAGCCAAGGGGACAUUUCUGCUGUGCCUUGAAGGACGGACUGAAUUUUUCCAGGUGUACAACGUAGUGAUUCAACAAUUGUAUACAUUACUCAAUGCUCACCAUGGCUGACAGCAGCGAGCCCAAUGUGGAGCUUGAACUCAUGAACCGCAAGAUCAUGACCUGAGCUGAAGUUAGACGCUCAACCAACUGAGCCACCCAGGUGCCCCUUUUUUAUUAAAUUUUUACUGAGCCCCUAUUAUGUGCUGUUUCCCUGGAUUCAAAAGAAUUCUACACACACACACACACACACACACACACACCCAUGCACCCCUUUGAGUAUCUCAUAAUUUUGCCUUUCUGGAGAGUAGAUGUGUUGCUAUUUGCCUGUUAUUAUAGCAAGAAAGAAUCCAAUAUUUGCACACCAGUUGAUCCAUGAAUGUCAACAUAGCGCAGGCACCUUCUGUCCUCCUAAAUUGUUAAUCUGUGAACUCAGAUGAAGGUUAGAAACUCUCACUAAAUGUUUAAAAUUCCUUUUGGAUGCUUCUGUCAGACUGAAAUUUUCAAAUAUGUGAAUGGUACAUAUGCUAAAUGAGGCACUCGACACCCCCACUCUUUUAGUAAAGUCCUCGUAUUCAAAAUCCCAGGAAUAUUUCCCACCAUUAAAAACCCAUAAGUGAGGAUACAACUAAACUGUUGGGCUUUUGAAAACUUGGGGACACAGCUGUGCAGAAAAGACAGAGCCCCUUAGGAACUGGAUGAAAACAGAAGUGAGACCAACAACAAUUAGCGAUCUUAAGAGGAAUUUUAAGAGGUAAUGGUAAAUCUUCAAGGUGUUUUAUAGUAUCAUUAUGCUUCAAAUCUCCCAGAUGCCACAAAUAUUUAACUUUACACAUAUAUCACUUAGGUAUCAUAUGUAUGUGUGUGUGCCCCAUAAUAUUUAUGGAAAUAUUUGGGGAAUAUCUGUAAAUCUGGCUUAGAACAUUUUGCAACCCCAUUUUUCUCUGCCUCAAAAGAAGAAAACUAUGUAACAAAAUGAAAAGCAUAUUCCAGAUCAUUUUUACAGUUGCAGGAGCUCGACAUUUUUCUGUAAACAUAGAGUGCUUUCCAUGCGUUGUCUUGGUGAUCCAAUGUUACACCUGGUGUUGCUAUUAAUGACAUGCUAUUUCCAAAACCAUGAGCAACUCUUGGUAAAUUUCCAAACAAAACAGCAUACUUUUUCCUCAAUAAGCCUGGUAGUUGCAUUUCUGAGAAAUUCAACACAUAUUAAAACUGUGCAAAAAUUACUUUGUAUAUGUAAAAUAGUGUUGUUCUAUGCUCAGAUAAUUAUAAAGUGUUUUUUCACCUGUAUGCAUGUCCAAUCUGACAUUAAAAUAUCAUGUGGGAUAUGUGUUAUGGGUUGAAGUGUGAGUCCCAAAACUUCACAUUUUGAAGUCACAUCCCCAAGGGCCUCAGAACGUGACCUUAUUUGGGAAUAGGUUCAUUGUAGAUGUAAUUAGUUAAAAUGAGGUCAGACUGGUAUAAGGAGGGCCCCUAAUGCAAUAUGACUGGUGUCUUUCUAAGAAGGGGAUAUUUGGACACAGACAAAUGCACACAUCAUUCAUAUGCCGUGUGAAGAUGAAGGCAGAGGUGGGUGGUGCUUUACAAGCCAAGGAACGUCAAGGAUUUCCGGCAAACUAGCAGAACGUAGGAAAGAGGCAUGGGACAGAUCCUCCCUCAUGGCCCUCAGAACGAUCCAACCCUGAUGACACCUUGCUUUCAGACUUCUAGACUCCAGAAGUACAAGACAAUAAAUUUCUGUGCUUUAAACCAUUUAGUCUGUGGUACUCUGUUAUGACAGCCCUCACCAACUGAUACAACUGGAUGAGUGAGGUACCUCAGAGGAUAUCUUUUCUUACUAUUUUCACUUUUUAAACUACGUGAAAUGUGGUGCCCAUUUAAUAGACUGCAUUUUUUGUGCAAUCCCAUACAAAAGAGAUUUUGUUUUAUGGGGAGUGAGGAGAAAGGUAGGGAGAAAGCCAUUAGAACCUGAUCCAUAUAAUUCCCCUUGGGGGAAAAAGCAUCAUGUAUGUGGCCAGUACUGAUACCUGAAGAACAUCCCCGCAGUGCUGGAAAAGUCGCUUCAGCCCUUGGUCCGUCACGGCCUGGCCAGCAUGGCGGCAGCGAUGCAGAGACAGAGAGCGGGGCUGGUGGCCAGCCAGAGCCACCAGCCAGUCAUCCUCCAGGACGUGGCAGUCUGUGAUCUGGACCUGCUUCCCUGGGAGUUAAAAAAAUAAUGAUAAUAAAUAAAACCAAGGAUCUUAAGGAGCUCCCCUUCGACAACACCCUCCAGAUAAGGCCCAUUCCAGGGUGUUUUCUCUUAUGCCACAAAUGUUACUGAGCACUAACAUGUGCUAAGCACUGAGGUGACAGUGGAGAUGUAACCACACAGACAGGGUACCUGUUCUCGAGCUGCUCAGCAGCUGCAUGGGGGAGCUCCUUGUGUUUAAGGGUCAUAUGCACAAGGUAAUUAGCAACCUUGAAAAGUGCUCAAGUACAAGAUGCUGGAAGAUUAUAUGAGGGGUAACACCGGAGUUAGAGAAGCCUUACCCAGGAAGGGACAUUUGCACUGAUACGGGAAUCCACAUGGCAAAGGGGGAAGGGAAGGAGCUUAGCACACGAAAGUGAAGAAGGGCAGGUGUGACUGGCAGCUACACAGUUGGGGCAUAGGGUGACCCAAGAUGAGGUGGCAAGGAAUCACACUGCAUAUGACCUUGUGCCCCAGCAUGAAGGUUGGGAGUCAGUGACUUUUUUUUUUUUUUUUGAGAUUUUAAAGUAAUCUCUACACCCAACAUGGGGCUUGAACUCACAACCCUGAGAUCAAGAGUCAGACACUCCAUGGACCCAACCAGCCAGGCACCCCUGGAACUCAGUGAUUUUAAGUAAGGAUCAGUCUUGGGUUGUUUUUUUGUUUUGUUUUGUUUUG